GAGCCAUUAGCUUAAUAGGUAGAGCGUCUAAUUGUCAAUUAGGAAAGUUUCAGUUCAAAUCUGUAAUGGCUCG
This 73-nucleotide transfer RNA is filed under the name Armillaria borealis. RNAcentral's name for it is "tRNA-Asp". It matches the Rfam family "tRNA". Rfam says of the family: Transfer RNA (tRNA) molecules are approximately 80 nucleotides in length. Their secondary structure includes four short double-helical elements and three loops (D, anti-codon, and T loops). Further hydrogen bonds mediate the characteristic L-shaped molecular structure. tRNAs have two regions of fundamental functional importance: the anti-codon, which is responsible for specific mRNA codon recognition, and the 3' end, to which the tRNAs corresponding amino acid is attached (by aminoacyl-tRNA synthetases). tRNAs cope with the degeneracy of the genetic code in two manners: having more than one tRNA (with a specific anti-codon) for a particular amino acid; and 'wobble' base-pairing, i.e. permitting non-standard base-pairing at the 3rd anti-codon position. The record is from RNAcentral. Lineage: Eukaryota; Fungi; Basidiomycota; Agaricomycetes; Agaricales; Physalacriaceae. RNAcentral also lists the same sequence under 11 other names.